Dicentrarchus labrax (European seabass) is the source of this 940-nucleotide long non-coding RNA. RefSeq lists it as uncharacterized. The transcript is spliced from 2 exons. NCBI's taxonomy places the organism in Eukaryota, Metazoa, Chordata, Actinopteri, Moronidae. The record is from RefSeq and is a predicted model, not a curated record.
CUAAAUUUGGGUCAAAGUGAGCUACCUCCCAAGGUUUAAAAGCUGAAGAAUGAUCUUGCAGUGUAAGCGGAUUUAUGCUCAUGACACAAUUCUUCAUGUCCAUGUCUGGAUUGUUGCACAAAUACAUUGCACUGACUGGAGCUAAUAUUCUUGCAGUUGCUCAUUUUGUAUGUGAUUCUUCUUGUACAAGAUGUGUCUAGUGUUGCUUGUUUUACUGAAAUUAUUCUACAGAGGACACAGGCGGCUGUGGCUCAGAGGCAGAGCGGGUCGUUCCUUAAUCGGAAGGUUGUGGGUUCGAUCCCCAGCUCCUGGUGCCACAUGUCGAAAUAUCCUUGAGCAAGAUACUGAACCCCGAAUUGCUCCCGAUGCCGUGCAUCGGUGUGUGAAUGUGUAUGACUGUUAGUUUCUGUUCGAUGGACUUUGCCAUCAUUCCAUGGAAUGGCGCCGGCGACAACGGCAGCCUGUCAUGGCAGCUCCUUUCAUUGUUGUAGUUUUAGUGUGUUUUUGCUAUUUUGAACUCUUUUCUUACUUUCUUACUUUCUUACUACUUUGUUCAUGUCGCCUAAAUACUUUUUUGGCGUUUUUGAGCACUUUUUAUUUUUUGUUUACGCUGGUCUCCAUGGCAACGGGGAGUCGCAUUGUUUUCACCCGCGACCAGAUGAUCGCCCUGAGGCCCCCUAGCAUCCUGACUGGAGAGAGACCCUCCAUACCGGAGGAGCUGAGGAGGAGACGGUGAGGCUGCAGAGCGGGGGUUAACCGGCUUCCAGACGGUUCGAGCCGACAGGGACACCACCGCGACCGGCAUGAAGAAAGGAGGGGGACUGUCCGUGCUCAUAAACAACAGGUGACCUGAUGAAGCUCAGGAGUUCCUGGACCCAUCAGAGGACAGAGACAGCUGCAGCAUCAGGACAGUCUGGGUAUCCAAAGGAAGACUCAUGAA